GUUAGGGACUCAGGUGGGGGGCCAGGAAGCUAUGGAGAAACCAGCUCAUUGAAAUCCAGAUAAUCCCUAAACCUCAUUUUCCCUAUUGCAUAUGACUGCCUUUCUGCCCUGCCCCCUUUUACAGGAUCGCCAAGAAGCCACCAGACCGCUUUGCCUGGCACUCCUUUUAUCUUUCUGGCCUGAGGGGGCCAUGGGCUAAUGAUCAGUGAAAUCAGGAAAGGCCAAGAGGCCCAGCUAAUCCACAAAUUGGAUCAUCCACCCCUGAAUAAUCAAGAGUUGCUGGCACAAAAGUUGGUUUCUCUCUUUGAUCAUCAGCACACUCAAAACACACCUACAUUUGCUUCUUGUGGGAGCCCUCUGACUUAG
Molecule: long non-coding RNA, 366 nt
Filed under: Canis lupus dingo (dingo)
Lineage: Eukaryota; Metazoa; Chordata; Mammalia; Carnivora; Canidae
Description: lncRNA (ENSCAFG00020014094.1)
Source: RNAcentral